RNAcentral lists this long non-coding RNA (217 nucleotides) under Bos taurus (domestic cattle). RNAcentral describes it as "long non-coding RNA NONBTAT020128". The record is from RNAcentral. Lineage: Eukaryota; Metazoa; Chordata; Mammalia; Artiodactyla; Bovidae.
UAAAGAUUUUACAUUUGUAUGUAUCUGACAAACUAUAUAUGGCACUCAACACAAGCUUGUAUCAGUUAUCAAUUUAGAUUUUUUGAGGAAAAGAUAAAUUUUCAAUUAAAAUAAAAAAUUCACUAUUUAAAAUACUGCUAAAUUAAUUCCCCACUUCAAAAUAGCCUUCCAGAAACACUUUUAAAUGAAGAAUUACAAAGCCAUAGCACAUUCCAUC